GAUCCUGGCUCAGGACGAACGCUGGCGGCGUGCCUAACACAUGCAAGUCGAACGGAGAAUUUUAUUUCGGUAGAAUUCUUAGUGGCUAACGGGUGAGUGACGCGUAGGCAACCUACCCUUUAGACGGGGACAACAUUCCGAAAGGAGUGCUAAUACCGGAUGUGAUCAUCGUGCCGCAUGGCAGGAUGAAGAAAGAUGGCCUCUACAAGUAAGCUAUCGCUAAAGGAUGGGCCUGCGU
Molecule: ribosomal RNA, 238 nt
Filed under: uncultured bacterium
Lineage: Bacteria
Description: partial 16S ribosomal RNA
Rfam family: Bacterial small subunit ribosomal RNA
Source: RNAcentral